UGAAGGGAUGCAUGUAAAUGGUACGAAUAAGGGUGGUAACACUGUUCCUAUGUCUGGGAAUGGUUAACCUACUUAGUUGGAAUGUGAGGGGGCUUAAUGAUCCUAAUAAGCAAAAAAAAGUUAAGCUCCUUUGAAAUGAUGAAAAGGUGAGUAUGAUAGGCUUACUUGAAACAAAAAUAAAAAGGGAGAAACUUGAUCAAUUAGCAAA
RNAcentral lists this long non-coding RNA (208 nucleotides) under Capsicum annuum. RNAcentral describes it as "long non-coding RNA (CANN_LNC004248)". Lineage: Eukaryota; Viridiplantae; Streptophyta; Magnoliopsida; Solanales; Solanaceae. The record is from RNAcentral.